RNAcentral lists this ribosomal RNA (702 nucleotides) under Escherichia coli. RNAcentral's name for it is "partial 23S ribosomal RNA". It matches the Rfam family "Bacterial large subunit ribosomal RNA", at positions 530 to 1230 of the family's 2925-position model. The record is from RNAcentral. Lineage: Bacteria; Pseudomonadati; Pseudomonadota; Gammaproteobacteria; Enterobacterales; Enterobacteriaceae.
CGAGGGGAGUGAAAAAGAACCUGAAACCGUGUACGUACAAGCAGUGGGAGCACAGAGCAAUCUGUGUGACUGCGUACCUUUUGUAUAAUGGGUCAGCGACUUAUAUUCUGUAGCAAGGUUAACCGAAUAGGGGAGCCGAAGGGAAACCGAGUCUUAACUGGGCGUUAAGUUGCAGGGUAUAGACCCGAAACCCGGUGAUCUAGCCAUGGGCAGGUUGAAGGUUGGGUAACACUAACUGGAGGACCGAACCGACUAAUGUUGAAAAAUUAGCGGAUGACUUGUGGCUGGGGGUGAAAGGCCAAUCAAACCGGGAGAUAGCUGGUUCUCCCCGAAAGCUAUUUAGGUAGCGCCUCGUGAAUUCAUCUCCGGGGGUAGAGCACUGUUUCGGCAAGGGGGUCAUCCCGACUUACCAACCCGAUGCAAACUGCGAAUACCGGAGAAUGUUAUCACGGGAGACACACGGCGGGUGCUAACGUCCGUCGUGAAGAGGGAAACAACCCAGACCGCCAGCUAAGGUCCCAAAGUCAUGGUUAAGUGGGAAACGAUGUGGGAAGGCCCAGACAGCCAGGAUGUUGGCUUAGAAGCAGCCAUCAUUUAAAGAAAGCGUAAUAGCUCACUGGUCGAGUCGGCCUGCGCGGAAGAUGUAACGGGGCUAAACCAUGCACCGAAGCUGCGGCAGCGACGCUUAUGCGUUGUUGGGUA